Molecule: long non-coding RNA, 259 nt
Filed under: Equus caballus (horse)
Lineage: Eukaryota; Metazoa; Chordata; Mammalia; Perissodactyla; Equidae
Description: lncRNA (ENSECAG00000049094.1)
Source: RNAcentral
GGGGAGUGAGGGCAGGGGGGCUGGGCCUCCACCCAACAAAUGCGAGUAUUUUGGAGCCCUCAGUUCUGGUUUCCACACGAAGCGAUGUGCUGCUCUGCUGUUUUCCCCGGGGACCCAGAGGCAGAUGGAGACAAACAGCAGGGGACAGGCGACAGCAACAUGAUUUCAACAUGGAUGGGAGAAAGAGGCCCCAAGGUGUAAUGGGGAAGAACAAGAAACUACUGGAAAUUCUGCCCUGGAAGAAUCUGAUGUAUGUAAA